This is a long non-coding RNA of Lathyrus oleraceus (garden pea), 642 nucleotides long. RefSeq lists it as uncharacterized. Lineage: Eukaryota; Viridiplantae; Streptophyta; Magnoliopsida; Fabales; Fabaceae. The transcript is spliced from 2 exons. The record is from RefSeq and is a predicted model, not a curated record.
AUACAAUUGCAGGAGUAAAAAAAAAAAAAAAAAAAGGAGCAACAGGUCCAACUCCAAAACUCAGGUCAUCCAAAUCCUCAAUCCCAAAUGCGAUGCAGAAAGGUUCGGGAAACCGGAAUGCCAUGCUGGAACAAUCUUCAGAAUCCUCAUAUUUCUUCAUCAUGCGCGAAAUCAAUGACGUACAAUCAUGAACACGACAGAGCAACAACGAACACAACGAACGCGACGAAUACAACGAAUUCGACAUUCAAACCCGAAAUCCACGUGGACCUCCAAUCGUGGUUCAAAAUCUACACGCGCGGAAUCAUAGUGGAAUCAUAUUAGAAUCAAGAACUCACCGAAUCGGAGUCCCGAAUAGUGCUUGAAUGGUUUUGUAGGAUAUGCAAAAGUGGAAUGAUGGAAUCAAAGGCAUGACUUGUUCUUGAAGAAAGUAGUGGAGAUUUGGAUCAGGGCUAUUAUAGGAUGUUAUGGAUUUAUUAUUGUACUUGUUGUAAAUUGGGAUUGGAUUGAAAUUGAAUGUAAUAAAUUUGGGAAUUUGUUGUAAUUUUGUAUGUAGUUCAUGGUUGUAAUUGGAAAGAAUGGAAAACUUGAAUGUUAAUGGUAUGGUAAUGAUUGAAAUAAAAUGGUGUAAUCUUGGAUCAA